Non-coding RNA from Plutella xylostella (diamondback moth), 413 nucleotides. The record is from RefSeq and is a predicted model, not a curated record. Lineage: Eukaryota; Metazoa; Arthropoda; Insecta; Lepidoptera; Plutellidae.
AAAAAUAUAAUGGAAACAAUUUUUUUGAAUAUUAUAACGAAUAUGUCAUUAUUUAAACUUUACUUCACGGUAAUAUUCAUGAUUUUAUAUGAACAUAUUAUGGGACAAUUAAUAUUCCUGGCUGAGUCCCCAAGUCUAAGCAAAAAUACACCUACACUAGGUUACCCUAGGAAAUUCAAUCAUAAAUAAACUUUUUUUCACUUUCUUAUACCUAAGAUCAUUUGAAUGGCUGUGUAUUUGUAUCGGAGUGCAGGAAGGAGAGCGGGACGGAUAAAAUGACCAAGUCUUUCGGAUGAGAGUCCUGGAGAGAAGCGCGUGUAUUUAUUGUGACGCCACUGAGUUACCGGCGACAUACGUAUAACAUUUCAGACUCAAUGGCGUAAACAGCGGCUGAAAAACAACGGCUUUAUAGG